CACGCAGAGCACACAACACAUACGCGGACCCAAAAUGUUUCCGUUUCGCAGAGAGAAACGAAGAAGCGGGAAGAUUGGCCGUUGGAAUUCAACGAGACCUCUCUCUACCCAACUGGGUCGUUUUUUGUGUCCCUCUUGACC
Non-coding RNA from Caenorhabditis elegans, 141 nucleotides. The record is from Ensembl. NCBI's taxonomy places the organism in Eukaryota, Metazoa, Nematoda, Chromadorea, Rhabditida, Rhabditidae.